Molecule: long non-coding RNA, 1216 nt
Filed under: Equus asinus (donkey)
Lineage: Eukaryota; Metazoa; Chordata; Mammalia; Perissodactyla; Equidae
Description: lncRNA (ENSEASG00005035993.1)
Source: RNAcentral
GCGUCAUCCCCCUGAGAACAGGAACAAGACAAGGGAGCCCACUCCCACCACUCUUACUGAACAUAGUACUGCAGGUUUGGGCCAGAGCAAUAGGCAAGAAAAAGAAAGAAAAGGAAUCCAAAUUGGCAGUGAAGAAGUGUAACUCUCACUGUUUGCAGACGACAUGAUUUUAUAUAGAGAAAACCCUAAAGAAGCCAUGGCGGGGCCGGCUCGGUGGCUGAGUGGCUAAGUUCACGCGCUCCGCUGAGGCAGCCCAGGGUUCGGAUCCUGGGCACGGACAUGGCACUGCUCAUCAGGCCACGUUGAGACGGCGUCCCACAUCCCACAACUAGAAAGACAUGCAACUAAGAUAUACAACUAUGUACCAGGGGGGUUUGGGAAAUAAAGCAGAAAAAAAAAAAAAAAAAAAAGAUUGGCAACAGUUGUUAGCCUAGGUGCCAAUCUUUAAAAAAAAAAAAAAGAAGCCAUGGGAAAACUAUUAGAAAUAAACAUCUACAGCAAAGUUGCAGGAUACAAAGUCUACUUACAAAAAUCAGUUGCAUUUCUCUACUCUAAUAACAAACUAACAGAACAAGAACUCAAGAAUAGAAUCCCAUUUACAAUCGCAACAAAGAGAAUAAAAUAUCUAGAAAUAGGGGUGACGUCAGCAACAUGGCAGCGUGAGCUCACCCAGGACUCUCUCCCCUCCAAAUUACAACUAAAAAGAGCAACUGCUUUCCAACCAAAAAAAAAAAAAAUCCCAAUAACAGAAAUCCUCACAGACCCACAGCAGCCAAACGACGGAAGGCAGAGAGGCUGGAGCCGCCCUCAGAGGAGCUGGAACGGGGUCUUCGCUCCCUCCCCUAGAGACUGGGAUCGCUGCCGUGGGUGUGAGAAGGAGCAAGGGAGGGGCCAUGCAUUGGGAGAUCGUGCAGGACUCCCACCGCUGGAGCAGCGGAAACCCUCUAACAGGGGACAGCUUUCGCGUGGGGGAACCCCAGCAAGCCAGGGCCCUGGGAGACCAGAGAGCGAGAGCUGUGCCAAUCCAGGUCGGCAUGAGAGAAAGUGUCCCUCCUCCCUCAACCCAUGCUGGGCGCCACCAUCGCGGCUGAAGGCGCAGGGCUCAGAACCAAGGCUCUCGACCCCCAUCUAGUGGCGACAGGCUGUACCUGCAACCAAAUAACAGCAUCAUGCGCAAAAACCUCUCCUCUACCAUCCAGCAAUUUAUAAAAGUUCC